This 516-nucleotide ribosomal RNA is filed under the name Paracilicaea uncinata. Its description in RNAcentral is "partial 16S ribosomal RNA". It matches the Rfam family "Bacterial large subunit ribosomal RNA", at positions 1807 to 2617 of the family's 2925-position model. The record is from RNAcentral. Lineage: Eukaryota; Metazoa; Arthropoda; Malacostraca; Isopoda; Sphaeromatidae.
UCAAAAACAUCGCUAAAAUAAACUUUUAGUCCAAUCUGCCCAGUGUAUUUAUAAACGGCCGCAGUAUCCUAACUGUGCUAAGGUAGCAUAAUCAUUAGUCUUCUAAUUAAAGACUCGUAUAAAUGAUCUAACGAGAAACUUUCUGUCUCAGUAAGACAUCUUAAUUUAGAAAGGAAGUCAAAAUCCUUCCAAAUUCCAAAAGGACGACAAGACCCUAUAAAACUUUACUUUUUUAAAGGGCCUACCCUUAGAAUAUAAUAUCCUUCUAAAGUUUUACUGGGGCGGUAAUUUAUACCUAAAACAAAAUUUAUACAAACAACCUGAAUGACUUUUAUAAACACUUUAAGUAAUAAAGAACAAGUUACUUUAGGGAUAACAGCGUUAUUCUUCUUUAGAGUCCUUAUCGACAGAAGAGUUUACGACCUCGAUGUUGAAUUGAGAACCCAGAAUAAAGCAGCUCUUAUUCUAAGGAAGUCUGUUCGACUUUWMAWMUCUCACAUGAUCUGAGUUCAAACC